GACGAACGCUGGCGGCGUGCCUAAUACAUGCAAGUAGAACGCUGAAGGGAGGAGCUUGCUCUUCUUGGAUGAGUUGCGAACGGGUGAGUAACGCGUAGGUAACCUGCCUUGUAGCGGGGGAUAACUAUUGGAAACGAUAGCUAAUACCGCAUAACAAUGGAUGACCCAUGUCAUUUAUUUGAAAGGGGCAAAUGCUCCACUACAAGAUGGACCUGCGUUGUAUUAGCUAGUAGGUGAGGUAACGGCUCACCUAGGCGACGAUACAUAGCCGACCUGAGAGGGUGAUCGGCCACACUGGGACUGAGACACGGCCCAGACUCCUACGGGAGGCAGCAGUAGGGAAUCUUCGGCAAUGGGGGCAACCCUGACCGAGCAACGCCGCGUGAGUGAAGAAGGUUUUCGGAUCGUAAAGCUCUGUUGUAAGUCAAGGACGAGUGUGAGAGUGGAAAGUUCACACUGUGACGGUAGCUACCA
RNAcentral lists this ribosomal RNA (474 nucleotides) under Streptococcus salivarius. RNAcentral describes it as "bacterial SSU rRNA". It matches the Rfam family "Bacterial small subunit ribosomal RNA", at positions 28 to 485 of the family's 1533-position model. The record is from RNAcentral. Lineage: Bacteria; Bacillati; Bacillota; Bacilli; Lactobacillales; Streptococcaceae.